CCUACGGGAGGCAGCAGUGAGGAAUAUUGGUCAAUGGGCGCAAGCCUGAACCAGCCAAGUAGCGUGAAGGAUGACGGCCCUAUGGGUUGUAAACUGCUUUUAUAGGGGAAUAAAGUGCAGUAUGUAUACGGCUUUGCAUGUACCUUAUGAAUAAGGAUCGGCUAACUCCGUGCCAGCAGCCGCGGUAAUACGGAGGAUCCGAGCGUUAUCCGGCUUUAUUGGGUUUAAAGGGAGCGUAGGGGGGGUGUUAAGUCAGUUGUGAAAGUUUGCGGCUCCACCGGAAAAUUGCCGUUGAUACUGUCAUCCUUGAGUACAGUAGCGGUAGUCGGAAUUCGUGGUGUAGCGG
Molecule: ribosomal RNA, 346 nt
Filed under: uncultured bacterium
Lineage: Bacteria
Description: partial 16S ribosomal RNA
Rfam family: Bacterial small subunit ribosomal RNA
Source: RNAcentral